CAAUAGCGUAUAUUUAAGUUGUUGCAGUUAAAAAGCUCGUAGUUGGAUUUCGGAUGGGACUUGCCGGUCCGUCGUUUCGAUGUGCACUGGCCAGUCCUAUCUUGUUGUCGGGGACUAGCUCCUGGGCUUCACUGUCCGGGACUAGGAGCUGACGAGGUUACUUUGAGUAAAUUAGAGUGUUCAAAGCAAGCCUACGCUCUGAAUACAUUAGCAUGGGAUAACACGAUAGGACUCUGGCUUAUCUUGUUGGUCUGUGAGACCAGAGUAAUGAUUAAGAGGGACAGUCGGGGGCAUUCGUAUUUCAUUGUCAGAGGUGAAAUUCUUGGAUUUAUGAAAGACGAACUUCUGCGAAAGCAUUUGUCAAGGAUGUUUUCAUUAA
RNAcentral lists this ribosomal RNA (379 nucleotides) under uncultured eukaryote. Its description in RNAcentral is "partial 18S ribosomal RNA". It matches the Rfam family "Eukaryotic small subunit ribosomal RNA", at positions 592 to 976 of the family's 1831-position model. The record is from RNAcentral.